CCGAGUAGCUGGGAUUACAGGCAUGUGCCACCACACCCAGCUAAGUUUUGUAUUUUUAAUAGAGACGGGGUUUCACCAUGUUGGCCAGGAUGGUCUUGAUCUCCUGAUCUUGUGAUCCGCCUGCCUCAGCCUUCCAAAGUGCUGGGAUUACAGACGUGAGCCACCGCACCAGGCCAUUUGGGUCAUUUUUAAAUGUAUUGCCAUUAUUGUUACUUAAAGCCAGAUACACCCUAACUGAUACAUUCUAAUUGAAAUAGUUGGGCUCAAGCAGCCUGAUCGAUUCCAGAGCUCCUCUUUUUGCCUGUUCACUAUUGUCAUGAGAAGCCUAAAAUGGGCCAAUAAUUCAGCUGCUAAUUCAGUGGAGCCAUUGCUUUAUUGCCCUUGACGAUUCCUCCUUGGAUUCUAAAUCCUCUGUGUCAGUGGAGCACUGAGUUAUGAAGAACAUAAGCAAAACUUCCCACGUGGGAAGUGGGUGGAGUGUAACUCCAGCUUCCACCCUCUUGAUUCGCAGAUGAGUAUAUUCUUGCUAUGGCAGAAAUGGCACCAUAGAUAGGCCACUUGUUCAAAAAAUAAACGUCACCCUCUAGAACCACAAGUAACCUCACCUGCCUUUCUUUCUAAUAAGACACUGUAACUGGGCCUUGGAAGGGCCAUUCCAUUCCUCUGUUGCAGGCAGUGUGGUUAUGAGCAGUAGCAGUUACGAGUGCAGGCUCGAGCUGGACUGUCUGGGUUCAAGUCUCAGACCCCACGCACUGCGUGACGAGAGUCAGUCUAUAGCCAUACUUGCUUUAGUGUCCUCUUCUUAGAAAUUAAUAUAAUUAUGUAAUUAUCUCAAAAGGGUGUUUUAAGGGUUAAAUGAGUUGUCAUAGGAGAGGUUCUCAGUGGCGUACCCAGCAUGUAAAUAUGAGUUGUCACUACUGUUCCAUAAGGCCAGCAGCUUUGGGUGUUAAGAAACAAGUCCUGUACAUUCCAUGUACUGCCUUACUUUGUUCAGAAAGCAGGCUGGUGGGCUGCCUGCUGGUGACCUUGGCAUCCAUUCUUUCUACAGAUCCUGAGGGCAGAAACAUGAAGCAUGGUGGGCAGGGACAGCAACUCUGAGCCCAGAGCAUAGAUUUGUUCCAGAGAGGAUGGACUGCUGCCUUCCCACUUGCAGGAGGAGUCCAGUUGCUGAGGACUGGCUGGGUGCCUCGGGAAUAUGGUUGCAUAUUCAAACCCCAGGAUUAGUUAACACUGAGAACAAGUUGGGCACUCAGAAGUGGUGAUAGCCAGUGACAAUAGCACUUCUUCCCCAAGGACAGAAGCAAAGUCCAUGAUGAUCUCUACCUUUCCUUUUAAUGUGGCUCAGCAAAUGGGAAAUGACGACUGCUGUGUGCACUCCAGGCCUCCCAGUGUGACUUCUCAGCAUCUCUGCUUCUGCAAUUAGUUUUCGCCUCCUCAAAGGAGAGGGCCUCUCUGCCUACAGUUUGGCUCCUGUUGCCCAGGCUGGAGUGCAAUGGCGCAAUCCCGGCUCACCGCAACCUCCGCCUCCUGGAUUGAAGUGAUUCUCCUGCCUCAGCCUCCCGAGUACCUGGUAUUACAGACAUGUGCCACCACGCCUAGUAGAGACGGGGUGUCUCCAUGUUGGUCAGGCUGGUCUCAAACUCCCGCCCACCUCGGCCUCCCAAAGUGCUGGGAUUACAGGCUUGGCUAAACGAUUUGCCUUGGCCAAAGAGAUGUCAACAAGCACGAUGGGAGUUCAGUAAGUGUUUGCGCAUUGGCACACUGCUCCCACCAUGUUAAGAAGUCCAGGGAGCCAACUUGCAGAUGAAAGAGAUUCGGAGAGAAACGUCCAGAUCCUCAGCUGGCUCAUCAGAGCUCAACCCCCUGGAAAUCCCCCAGCUAAAUGCAGCACCGUGAAUGAGCUCAGGUGAAACAGCAGAAGAGCCUCCCAGGUCUUCAGGGACAGUACUACGAAUGGAACUGUCAUCUCUUAUGGUAACAAUCCCUUCUAUUUGAAUACCACCUGAAGGACUUGCCUGAAGCUGUUUUACAGGUCCUCAAACUGUCACCCAGACUGAAGUGCAGUGGCACAAUCAUGGCUCACUGCAGCCUCAGCCUCCUGGGCCCCAGCAAUCCUCCCACCUCAGCCUCCCGAAUAGCUGGAACCACAGAUUUUGCUCUGGGUGCUGAAGCAGCCUGAAGCCUGGACACAGACAGGAAGAAGCCCUAAGGAUAGCCAGAGUCUCUGGAAAGGGAGGACCCCAUUGGACUAAAUCCUUUUGACUUUAAUCAACCCUACUCCAGGCAAACACCAGCAAAGAACUGGUCCUCCUUCCACUCUCACUGGUGGCUGAGGUGGUCCCUCAGGGGGAGAGUCCUGCUGAGUCUCUCUGCCCUACACCAGGCAAAUGCCAGCAAGAGGCAGUCUUCUUCCCUUCCUCCCCAGCACAGCAGACCCUAUACAUAGGAUAACACCUCAGCUUUCUAGCCAGACAUCAGAAAGGGGAACCCUGAAGGCCAGAGACUGCAGGAUAGAGUGGGGAAUUAUGAAGAACAACGUGCUGGAGAAAAGGAUUAUUUAAAGCAGUGUAUAAAGAAGUGCUGAGCUUACUCCUGAACUGAGCAUGUGUGAAGCUGAGCAGAAUCAGCACAUAAGGACUUUCACCACUGAAUGAUGGAGUAGACCGUUGCCCAGGUUUCAGACUGGCAGCUAGGUGAUGCAGAGGCAGGAUGGACCAGCACAUCACUGUAAAUGCUUUAGAAAGUUGGCCAGGUUGUGAGUCUAAACUUGAUUUGCCUGACUGCAUUUAACACAAGUCAAUGCUUUUCAGAAGAUUUACAUAGGACUCUGGGUUUUAUCACAUUAUAUUUAAAAUGUCCUACACACAAUCCAAAAUUAUUUGACAUGUAAAGGACCACAAAAAUGUAAACAAGAGUAAAGAGAAACGGCAAUCAACAGAAGCCAGCAUGGAGCUACUUAAAUAUUGAAAUAGUCAAAUAAAGACUUUAAAGUAGGUAUUAUAAUUAUGCAUUAAUAAAUAAAGGUAAAUACUUCUUAAAUAAAUGGAAAGACAGAAGUUCUCAACAAAUAAAUAAAAGCUAUAUAAAAGAACAAAAUGGAAAUUAUAGAGUUGAAAACUUCACUGGAGAGACUCAGUAGCAAACUGGAGAUGAUCUCAAACUAUACCUCACACCAUAUAUAAAACUUGACUCAAAAUGGAUCAUAGAACUGAAUGUAAAACUAUAAAAGUCAUCAAAGAAAAUAUUUUUAAAACUUUGUGAUUUGGGGUUAAGCAAAGAGUCUUUAAAUACAAGGAAAUAAAGACAACCCAUAAAAGAGAAUAUGGCAAAAUUUGACUUUGUUGGAAUAAAAAAGCCUUUAUUACUUUACAGAAUAUGCUGUUAAUGCAAUAAAAAGGUUAUAAGCAAGGAGAAAAUAUUUAUAAUCACAUAUAAAAUGAAAGACUUGUAUCCAGAAUAUAUAAAGAACUCAAAAUUCAGUGAUUAGAAACGAACAACCUGUUUUAAAAUGGGCAAGAGAUUUUGACAGACACUUCACCAAACAAGAUAUACGGAUAGCAAAUAUAAUGCUUAAAAUUAAUAAGAUGAAUGAAAAAUGCUUAAAUAUAACCAAUUGGUAAAAUGCAAAUUAAAUGACAAUUUUAAGUGCUGGUGAGAAUGCAAUCAAAAAGAACUCUCCUGUAUUGCUGACAGGAAUGUGAAAUGGUACAGCCACUCUGGAAAAUUGCUUGAGAGUUUUUUAUAAAGUUUAAGUUACAUUUACCAGGUGACCCAGCAAUCCCACUUUCAGGUAUUUAUCAUAGAGAAGUAAAAACACGUUUACACAAAAAUCUGUGCACAAAUGUUUAUAGCAGCAUUAUUCAUAAUCGCCAAAACACAAGAAACAACCAACUUAGCAUUAAUGUGUGAAUGGAUAAAUAAACCGUGUGCCAUUUAUGCAAUGGAAUACGACUUAGCAAUAAAAACGAUGAAUCAUGAAUACAGACAAUAACAUGGGUGAAUCUCAAAUGCAUUAUACUGAGUGAAAUCUCAGUAUCUAAAGGUUACAGAUUUAUUCCAUUUAGGAAUCAUUCUGGAAAAGGCAAAAGCAGACAGAUCUGUGGUUUCCAGGACUUAGGAAUACAGAAAGGAUUUAACUUAAUAAAGGUAGCUGGAGGGAAAUCUUUGGAGAAUUCAAAUUGUUCUCUAUCCUGACUGUGAUGCUGGCUAUAGGAAUCUAUGCAUGUGGUAAAAUUUAUAGAUGUGUACAUCAAAAAAGGUGAAAUUCACUCUUUGUAAUUUUUAUAACUAAAGAAAUGUUUAGAGCAGGUGCACUGGCUCACACCUAUAAUCCCAGCACUUCAGAAAGCCAAGCCAGCCGGACCAUCUGAGGUCAGGAGUUCAAGACCAGCCUGGCCAACAUGGUGAAACCCCAUCUCUACUAAAAAUACAAAAAUUAGCUGGGCGUGGUGGUGGGUGCCUGUAAUCUCAGCUACUUGAGAGGCUGAGGCAGGAGAAUUGCUUGAACCUGGGAGGCAGAGGUUGCGGUGAGCAGAGAUCACGCCAUUGCACUCCAGCCUGGGCAACAGAGUGAGACUCUGUCUCAAGAGAAGAAAAAAAAAAAGAAAAAAGGUGUUUACAGCAUUCCUAUUCUAUAUCUACCAUAACCUCCGAAACUAAAAAUAUGAUUUAAUGUUU
This is a long non-coding RNA of Callithrix jacchus (white-tufted-ear marmoset), 4677 nucleotides long. RefSeq lists it as uncharacterized. The record is from RefSeq and is a predicted model, not a curated record. NCBI's taxonomy places the organism in Eukaryota, Metazoa, Chordata, Mammalia, Primates, Cebidae.